RNAcentral lists this ribosomal RNA (484 nucleotides) under uncultured bacterium. RNAcentral's name for it is "partial 16S ribosomal RNA". It matches the Rfam family "Bacterial small subunit ribosomal RNA", at positions 29 to 507 of the family's 1533-position model. The record is from RNAcentral.
AUUGAACGCUGGCGGCAUGCUUUACACAUGCAAGUCGAACGGCAGCGCGGGCUUCGGCCUGGCGGCGAGUGGCGAACGGGUGAGUAAUACAUCGGGACGUGCCCAGUAGUGGGGGAUAGCUCGGCGAAAGCCGGAUUAAUACCGCAUACGACCUGAGGGUGAAAGCGGGGGAUCUUCGGACCUCGCGCUCUUGGAGCGGCCGAUGGCAGAUUAGCUAGUUGGUGGGGUAAAGGCCUACCAAGGCGACGAUCUGUAGCUGGUCUGAGAGGACGACCAGCCACACUGGGACUGAGACACGGCCCAGACUCCUACGGGAGGCAGCAGUGGGGAAUUUUGGACAAUGGGCGAAAGCCUGAUCCAGCAAUGCCGCGUGUGUGAUGAAGGCCUUCGGGUUGUAAAGCACUUUUGGCGGGAACGAAAAGGACUGUGCCAAUACCACGGUUCGAUGACGGUACCCGCAGAAUAAGCACCGGCUAACUACGUG